UGGGGAAUUUUGCACAAUGGGGGAAACCCUGAUGCAGCGACGCCGCGUGAUUUAGAAGGCCUUCGGGUUGUAAAAAUCUUUUCUAUGGGAAGAAAAUGACAGUACCAUAGGAAUAAGGACCGGCUAAUUACGUGCCAGCAGCCGCGGUAAUACGUAAGGUCCGAGCGUUGUCCGGAAUCAUUGGGCGUAAAGGGUACGUAGGCGGGUAAGCAAGUUAGAACUGAAAUCCUAUAGCUCAACUAUAGUAAGCUUUUAAAAAUGCUCAUCUUGAGGUAUGGAAGGGAAAGUGGAAUUCCUAGUGUAGCGGUGAAAUGCGCAGAUAUUAGGAGGAAUACCGGUGGCGAAGGCGACUUUCUGGCCAUAACCUGACGCUGAGGUACGAAAGCGUGGGUAGCAAACAGG
RNAcentral lists this ribosomal RNA (402 nucleotides) under bacterium. Its description in RNAcentral is "partial 16S ribosomal RNA". It matches the Rfam family "Bacterial small subunit ribosomal RNA", at positions 355 to 776 of the family's 1533-position model. The record is from RNAcentral.